UUUUCAAGACUGUAAAUGUGGUCUGGCUAGAUCAUCUAGGUGAUUGGCUUCUGUUCUCUGCAGGCCUUACUUGUCUGUGGUAUUUGGAUUACAUUUUCUAAGAAACUGCCAUGGGAAGAAAACUGCCCUCUUCCUUCUCUUACUCUUCAAAACCUGGAAGAAGUGUUCUAUUGUUUGUGAAAGUUACAAACGAGAUGCUGGAGGGAAUGAAGACAAGUACUGCCACGUGUGUCCCAUGUGACUUACUUGCGACACUGAACUGUGCUCAGGAUGGAAGGAAUCGCCUGUUUCCUUCUCCAACUGCGUUCAAAUUCAGUGAAGCACCUGCUUUCCCUUCUGCCAAACAAGUGUCUUGCUGGCUCCAUCUGCUGGACCCUGAUGAUGUGAACGAUACGGUGAAGCGUGGCUGGACCAACACGGAAGAAACACGCCUGAAACUGAAGCACUACGUGUGUGUCAUGGAGACAGUGAGAAACGAGAUGGGAACAUCUGUCCCCAGAAUGCAUAACUGUAAAGACUAA
RNAcentral lists this long non-coding RNA (521 nucleotides) under Numida meleagris (helmeted guineafowl). Its description in RNAcentral is "lncRNA (ENSNMEG00000020083.1)". The record is from RNAcentral. Lineage: Eukaryota; Metazoa; Chordata; Aves; Galliformes; Numididae.